Molecule: ribosomal RNA, 253 nt
Filed under: uncultured bacterium
Lineage: Bacteria
Description: partial 16S ribosomal RNA
Rfam family: Bacterial small subunit ribosomal RNA
Source: RNAcentral
UACAGAGACUGCAAGCGUUGUUCGGAUUCAUUGGGCGUAAAGGGUGCGCAGGCGGUUUGUUAAGUCGGGUGUGAAAUCUCACAGCCUAACUGUGAUAGGUCAUUCGAAACUGGCAGACUUGAGGAUUGGAGAGGAGACUGGAAUAGUUGGUGUAGCAGUGAAAUGCGUAGAGAUCAACUAGAACACCGGUGGCGAAGGCGAGUCUCUGGACAAUUCCUGACGCUCAGGCACGAAAGCCAGGGGAGCAAACGGG